RNAcentral lists this long non-coding RNA (357 nucleotides) under Mytilus galloprovincialis (Mediterranean mussel). The record is from RNAcentral. Lineage: Eukaryota; Metazoa; Mollusca; Bivalvia; Mytilida; Mytilidae.
UUAACUUUUUACCCAAACUUUAAUAUGCAUGAUACCUAAUUCGGGUUGAAAGAAAUCUAUAUGGAAAGUAUGCAUAAAUACUUGAACCCUACAAAACAUGUACUUGUAUAAGUGUAAACAAUUAAAUCCUGAAUUCAUUAUUUAUUCAUAUUGAACAUCGAUUAAAGACGACUACACUCAAUCGGGCGUAGUUUUAGCAAUACAUGCCGUCACAUUGGACGUCGGUUAGAGUAUCAAAAUAUUGGACGUCGAUUUGCGAAUGUGACGUCAGAUUUGGACAUCGAUUUGAGAAACGGACGUCGAUUUGAGGUACGGACGUCGAUUAGAGGCCGGACGUCGAUCUGAGUCUAACAUAUA